ACAGGAACACCACCUCCGAUUUAAAGUUUCAUGGCAACUCAGAUGCUGUAGAGUUUCUUGGAAGGUUCAACGUGGAGAUGGGUGUCUACCAGAUACCGGAUCCUGUCAGGUGUAGACUUCUUGCGGCCACAUUCAGAGAUAGUGCCUACCAAUGGUUCCGGAAAUUGGAACCAGCAUCCAUCACUUCUUGGACAAGCAUGCAGACUAUGUUCUUGACUCAGUUCCAGGCAACCGUCAAGUACGCUCCACCGGUC
This 254-nucleotide long non-coding RNA is filed under the name Daucus carota (carrot). RNAcentral describes it as "long non-coding RNA (DCAR_LNC000522)". The record is from RNAcentral. Lineage: Eukaryota; Viridiplantae; Streptophyta; Magnoliopsida; Apiales; Apiaceae.